This 492-nucleotide ribosomal RNA is filed under the name uncultured bacterium. RNAcentral's name for it is "partial 16S ribosomal RNA". It matches the Rfam family "Bacterial small subunit ribosomal RNA", at positions 29 to 507 of the family's 1533-position model. The record is from RNAcentral.
AGUGAACGCUGGCGGUAGGCCUAACACAUGCAAGUCGAACGGCAGCACAGUAAGAGCUUGCUCUUACGGGUGGCGAGUGGCGGACGGGUGAGGAAUACAUCGGAAUCUACUUUUUCGUGGGUGAUAACGUCGGAAAAUUUCUGCUAAUCCCGCAUUUAUCGUCCGGGGGAAGGCAGGCGUUGUUUGAGCUUGUUGGGAUGGAAUGAGCCUAUGUAGGAUUCGCUAGUUGGCGGGGUAAAGGCCCACCUAGGCGACAAUCGGUAGCUGUUCUGAAAGGAUGAUCAGCCACACUGGAACUGAGACACAGUACCGACUCCUGCGGUGGGAAGCAGUGGGGAAUAUUGGACAAUGGGCGAGUGCCUGAUCCAGCCAUACCGCGUGGGUGAAGAAGGACUUCGGGUUGUAGAGCCCUUUUGUUGGGAAAGAAAAACAGCAGGUUAAUACCCCGCUGUUCUGACGGUACCCAAAGAAUAAGCACCGGCUAACUUCGUG